GACGAACGCUGGCGGCGUGCUUAACCCAUGCAAGUCGAACGGAAAGGCCCUGCUUUUGUGGGGUGCUCGAGUGGCGAACGGGUGAGUAACACGUGAGUAACCUGCCCUUGACUUUGGGAUAACUUCAGGAAACUGGGGCUAAUACCGGAUAGGAGCUCCUGCUGCAUGGUGGGGGUUGGAAAGUUUCGGCGGUUGGGGAUGGACUCGCGGCUUAUCAGCUUGUUGGUGGGGUAGUGGCUUACCAAGGCUUUGACGGGUAGCCGGCCUGAGAGGGUGACCGGCCACAUUGGGACUGAGAUACGGCCCAGACUCCUACGGGAGGCAGCAGUGGGGAAUAUUGCACAAUGGGCGGAAGCCUGAUGCAGCAACGCCGCGUGCGGGACGACGGCCUUCGGGUUGUAAACCGCUUUCGCCUGUGACGAAGCGUGAGUGACGGUAAUGGGUAAAGAAGCACCGGCUAACUACGUG
RNAcentral lists this ribosomal RNA (468 nucleotides) under uncultured bacterium. RNAcentral describes it as "partial 16S ribosomal RNA". It matches the Rfam family "Bacterial small subunit ribosomal RNA", at positions 28 to 507 of the family's 1533-position model. The record is from RNAcentral.